RNAcentral lists this ribosomal RNA (484 nucleotides) under uncultured bacterium. RNAcentral's name for it is "partial 16S ribosomal RNA". It matches the Rfam family "Bacterial small subunit ribosomal RNA", at positions 30 to 507 of the family's 1533-position model. The record is from RNAcentral.
AUUGAACGCUGGCGGCAGGCCUAACACAUGCAAGUCGAGCGGAUGAAGGGAGCUUGCUCCUGGAUUCAGCGGCGGACGGGUGAGUAAUGCCUAGGAAUCUGCCUGGUAGUGGGGGAUAACGUCCGGAAACGGGCGCUAAUACCGCAUACGUCCUGAGGGAGAAAGUGGGGGAUCUUCGGACCUCACGCUAUCAGAUGAGCCUAGGUCGGAUUAGCUAGUUGGUGGGGUAAAGGCCUACCAAGGCGACGAACCGUAACUGGUCUGAGAGGAUGAUCAGUCACACUGGAACUGAGACACGGUCCAGACUCCUACGGGAGGCAGCAGUGGGGAAUAUUGGACGAUGGGCGAAAGCCUGAUCCAGCCAUGCCGCGUGUGUGAAGAAGGUCUUCGGAUUGUAAAGCACUUUAAGUUGGGAGGAAGGGAAGUAAGUUAAUACCUUGCUGUUUUGACGUUACCAACAGAAUAAGCACCGGCUAACUUCGUG